GUCCAGCCCCGAUGGAAACGGCAUCCUUUUAUGGCAGGGUUUGCCAUAAAAGAUAUAGUGGACAGCGGGAGAAAUG
Flavobacteriaceae bacterium CRH is the source of this 76-nucleotide non-coding RNA. NCBI's taxonomy places the organism in Bacteria, Pseudomonadati, Bacteroidota, Flavobacteriia, Flavobacteriales, Flavobacteriaceae. The record is from Rfam.